UUAAAUCGUGAAAUAUGUGUGUUAUAAAGCCGGGGACACACUUAACGACUGAACUGAACACACUAUGAUUUUAAACGCUGACUGUAAACACCGACUGAACGCAACUGGCUCUGACUCGGCGCGUUUGGGCAUGAUCAGUCGUAAUUAUCAAAUUACACUCAUAAUCGGCCUUACAAGCUCAUUUGAAUUCAGUACAACGAAUUCGUUUUGGUGAAAUGCGUCUUAUAUUUGAUCAACCUCUCUUCGCUUUCUAUUACUUUUAUGUGUAAGGCAAAUGCAAGUAGUAAUGCGGGAAAAUGUCGUUAGGGGGCGUGCAAUAUCAAAUAAAUAUAGGUCUCGUAUUGAAUAAAACUUUUCGAUCUUCAGUUAAUCUUAAGUGACAUCAUUUAAAUACUGCCAGAUUGUGUUCAGUGAAGUUGAUUUAUCAUCCAUCGAUCAAGAAUUAAGUUCCAGCUCAGCUGGUUUGGAAAUGAGGUAUAUAUCGAGUCAUUUUGACAUGUAACAAAAUAUUCUUCCUCCCCCGAUGGUAAAAAGCAGUGAUGCUUUCAAAAGCUUAAAAAAAACAACAACAACAAAAAAAAACAACAACAUAGUCCUAAAAUUUAAAAAAGUAAAAAACCACGCAUCAUGGAGCCAGAAGGCACACAAACCAGUAGAGAAACAAACUAAGCACCUGCACUAUAACCAUACAACAAC
This is a long non-coding RNA of Ctenopharyngodon idella (grass carp), 696 nucleotides long. RefSeq lists it as uncharacterized. The transcript has 2 exons. The record is from RefSeq and is a predicted model, not a curated record. Lineage: Eukaryota; Metazoa; Chordata; Actinopteri; Cypriniformes; Xenocyprididae.